Zingiber officinale is the source of this 1187-nucleotide long non-coding RNA. RefSeq lists it as uncharacterized. The record is from RefSeq and is a predicted model, not a curated record. Lineage: Eukaryota; Viridiplantae; Streptophyta; Magnoliopsida; Zingiberales; Zingiberaceae. The transcript has 8 exons.
UUUAAUUUUUCACGACUUAUUUCUUCGCGACGACGCGAUAAACAGGUUCAAGCGGCGAUUUCCUCUUCUUCAUCAAGGUUCGACGAUUUCCUUCUUCAUCAACACGACCUGCUAGGUUUCCUUCUUCUUCAUCAACCCGAUAGGCUAGGGUUGUGUUCUUCAGCGACGCAACAAUGCUAGGGUUGUGUUCGCCGCUCGAUUCCACUCCAUACAGGACACACCAAUGAUGCUUGAAUUCCCAAGAUUACGUGAUUUGAGCCAAAUUACUCAAUUGAAAUUCCUCUUUAGAGGGCAGAAGCUAUAGCUUCUUCUUCAGGUUAUUCAUAAAAAGUAAAAAGAACGAACGCUGCAUUAUAAAUAUCAUCACAGAUUGUCUCGCAAGGAUUAUAUCGGUUUAGAGACUGAAUUGGUAAGCUUCAUAGCAUUGUAUUUGUCAUUUUAAAACAAGUAUUUAAUAUUAUGUAACUAAUCAUUUUUUUGGAUUUAUAGAGAGAGAAAAAAAUUAAUUGAUAGAUCGAUACUUUGGCGUAAAACCCGCGAGGACAAAUCUGGCAACAUAACAAAUAUGGAGAUAGCAUAAGAUGACUUGUUGGAAAAAAAAAGUCAAAGGAGAGUUCAAAUCUUCUGAGAUGAAUGAUGUGUUAACCACUGCCUUAGGAAAUCGAACAGAGAUAACAUCUGCUUCAUCCCAUAUAACACUGCGUACCAUUGGAUCUUGACUAUAAUUAAUGAAGAUAAGAAUAUGAUAUAUUUAUUAUACUCUUUGAGUAACAGGAACGAGACUAUGCUUGGCAAAUUAUUGUGACCAAUGGAGUCAAGAUAUACAAUGCAUCAAGGGGUAUUUCAAAAGGAUCAUAUUUUAAACAAUUGACGGGUAAUCUUAAACAAAAUGGUGGUAUUGAAUGUGGAUAUUGUGUGAUGCGGUAUAUGAAAGAGAUAGUCUUGGAUGAAGAUCCAUAAUUGGAGAGGAAGUUUGCAGCAUCAAAAAAUAAACAGUAUUACAAUCAAUCUCAGUAUGAUGAAGUCAGAAGUGAAUGAAGUGAAUUCGUCUAUUUCUAUGUGGGUGCCUAAGUGUAGGCUAUGAUAUAAAUUAUAAACAUGUAUUUAGAGAUUUAUGGAUACAAAAGUUUUUGGGUUAUGGUUAAACAUGUCUUUUAUUAAUACAAUUUUGAAUUAUAUUUGAUACA